Long non-coding RNA from Coccinella septempunctata (seven-spotted ladybird), 321 nucleotides. RefSeq lists it as uncharacterized. The record is from RefSeq and is a predicted model, not a curated record. NCBI's taxonomy places the organism in Eukaryota, Metazoa, Arthropoda, Insecta, Coleoptera, Coccinellidae. The transcript has 2 exons.
AUUCCAUGUUUUAUGGAUUUCUACUCGUAUUUUUUCAUUUUUUAUUAUUUGUUCAUACUGUGAAUGUUUUGCAGAAGCUUUUGAGUGUGAAGACAAAAUAUGAAGAAGCGACAGAUGCCGAAAUCAUACAAAGUGUUUCCCAUACGGAUAUGGUUGGAUGAUGUCAGAUGAUGGACGGCAAAAAAAGAAUGCCAGUAGUCGACCACAAUUCCGGUUUCAAUUAUCUGCAGAUCCUGAUGACGAAGAUUAUAUGAAGGUUUCGUGUAUAUUGAUACAUAUUUUAAUGUUGUUAAUGGAAAAUGAAUAAAUUUUUUCAACUGA